UUGAUUUGAGAUUUAUUUGAGAUUUUAGUUCAAUUAGGUUAUUUUUAUGCAUUUUUAAUUGAUUUAAUCAAUUUAUUAAUUGAUUUGAGAUUUAUUUGAGAUUUUAGUUCAAUUAGGUUAUUUUUAUGCAUUUUUAAUUGAUUUAAAAUAGUUUCUGACUUCUAAAAAUGCUGAAAUUUUUUUGUCAAACUUUAUUUGACCUUGUUGAACUUGGGAUAAUUCACUUGGACUUUUCAAAGUUGAUUUGAAGUGAAUUUGAAGUUUGACCUUUCUUUAUUAUUUUA
This 284-nucleotide long non-coding RNA is filed under the name Lathyrus oleraceus (garden pea). RNAcentral's name for it is "Pisum sativum (pea) long non-coding RNA (PSAT_LNC037199)". The record is from RNAcentral. Lineage: Eukaryota; Viridiplantae; Streptophyta; Magnoliopsida; Fabales; Fabaceae.